RNAcentral lists this ribosomal RNA (483 nucleotides) under uncultured soil bacterium. RNAcentral describes it as "bacterial SSU rRNA". It matches the Rfam family "Bacterial small subunit ribosomal RNA", at positions 26 to 522 of the family's 1533-position model. The record is from RNAcentral.
AGGACGAACGCUGGCGGCGUGCUUAACACAUGCAAGUCGAGCGGUAAGGCCUUUCGGGGUACACGAGCGGCGAACGGGUGAGUAACACGUGGGUGAUCUGCCCUGCACUCUGGGAUAAGCCUGGGAAACUGGGUCUAAUACCGGAUAUGACCUGCUCUCGCAGUGGGGGUGGGUGGAAAGAUUUAUCGGUGCAGGAUGGGCCCGCGGCCUAUCAGCUUGGUUGGUGGGGUAAUGGCCCCACCAAGGCGACGACGGGUAGCCGACCUGAGAGGGUGACCGGCCACACUGGGACUGAGACACGGCCCAGACUCCUACGGGAGGCAGCAGUGGGAAUAUUGCACAAUGGGCGAACGCCUGAUGCAGCGACGCCGCGUGAGGAUGAAGGCCUUGGGUUGUAAACCUCUUUCAGCAGGACGAAGCGACAAGUGACGGUACCUGACAGAAGAAGACGACCGACUAACUAACGUCGACCAGCACGCCGAC